CAUCAUUUCACCAUGUUGGUCAGGCUGAUCUCGAACUCCUGACCUCGUGAUCUGCCCUCCGUGGCCUCCCAAAGUGCUGGGAUUACAGGCGUGAGCCACCAUGCCUGGCCAAGAAGCCCUUCUUUAGACCUAUAUGUGGACUCCCAGAUUAAGAGCCCCUGUUCAUAUUCAGUAUAGUAUGAGAGUUCUUUAUAUUGGAUAAUCUGUUCACGGAGUUCUCUGGAAAUCUGUAACCAGUUAGGUCAUUUGAGUAUAAGUAGCAGAGCCACCUGAAGUUGCCCC
RNAcentral lists this long non-coding RNA (282 nucleotides) under Homo sapiens (human). RNAcentral describes it as "LHRI_LNC735.1". Lineage: Eukaryota; Metazoa; Chordata; Mammalia; Primates; Hominidae. The record is from RNAcentral.